CCUACGGGAGGCAGCAGUGGGGAAUAUUGGGCAAUGGGCGCAAGCCUGACCCAGCAACGCCGCGUGAAGGAAGAAGGCUUUCGGGUUGUAAACUUCUUUUGUCAGGGAAGAGUAGAAGACGGUACCUGACGAAUAAGCCACGGCUAACUACGGGCCAGCAGCCGCGGUAAUACGUAGGUGGCAAGCGUUGUCCGGAUUUACUGGGUGUAAAGGGCGUGUAGCCGGGUUGACAAGUCAGAUGUGAAAUCCUGCGGCUUAACCGCAGAACUGCAUUUGAAACUGUUGAUCUUGAGUACUGGAGAGGCAGACGGAAUUCCUAGUGUAGCGGUGAAAUGCGUAGAUAUUAGGAGGAACACCAGUGGCGAAGGCGGUCUGCUGGACAGCAACUGACGGUGAGGCGCGAAAGCGUGGGGAGCAAACAGGAGUAGAUACCCCAGUAGUC
Molecule: ribosomal RNA, 442 nt
Filed under: uncultured bacterium
Lineage: Bacteria
Description: partial 16S ribosomal RNA
Rfam family: Bacterial small subunit ribosomal RNA
Source: RNAcentral